This 508-nucleotide ribosomal RNA is filed under the name uncultured bacterium. RNAcentral's name for it is "partial 16S ribosomal RNA". It matches the Rfam family "Bacterial small subunit ribosomal RNA", at positions 28 to 523 of the family's 1533-position model. The record is from RNAcentral.
GAUGAACGCUAGCUACAGGCUUAACACAUGCAAGUCGAGGGGAAACGAUAGAGAAAGCUUGCUUUUUCUAGGCGUCGACCGGCGCACGGGUGAGUAACGCGUAUACAACCUGCCCAUCACUUAGGGAUAACCUUGCGAAAGUAAGACUAAUACCCAAUGACGUCCAUAGAAGACAUCUGAAAGGGAUUAAAGAUUUAUCGGUGAUGGAUGGGGAUGAGUCUGAUUAGCUUGUUGGCGGGGUAACGGCCCACCAAGGCGAAGAUCAGUAGGGGUGCUGAGAGGAAGGUCCCCCACAUUGGAACUGAGACACGGUCCACACUACUACGGGAGGCAGCGGUGAGGAAUAUUGGUCAAUGGGCGAGAGCUUGAACCAGCCAAGUAGCGUGCAGGAUGACGGCCCUAUGGGUUGUAAACUGCUUUUAUAAGGGAAUAAAGUGAGCCUCGUGAGGCUUUUUGCAUGUACCUUAUGAAUAAGGACCGGCUAAUUCCGUGCCAGCCGCCGCAGUAA